AAAACGGUCCUUUUCAGGACCACCAAUCACAGCGCAGAACACACAA
Non-coding RNA from Acyrthosiphon pisum (pea aphid), 46 nucleotides. The record is from Rfam. Lineage: Eukaryota; Metazoa; Arthropoda; Insecta; Hemiptera; Aphididae.